This 184-nucleotide unclassified non-coding RNA is filed under the name uncultured fungus. RNAcentral's name for it is "sequence contains ITS1". Lineage: Eukaryota; Fungi. The record is from RNAcentral.
UUGUAACUAUUAAAGUAACAUAAUCAGACAAGAAUCCCAAUUAUUGGUUAACAAAAAGGGUUUAUGUAUCCUUUGGCAGAACGAGUCUACCAAAGCAACUAGAAUAAAUAACAAAGGGUGUGAAAUACAACGAGUUUCCUCGCUGAUCUCUAUAAUGAUCCUUCCGCAGGUUCACCUACGGAAA